RNAcentral lists this ribosomal RNA (497 nucleotides) under uncultured bacterium. RNAcentral's name for it is "partial 16S ribosomal RNA". It matches the Rfam family "Bacterial small subunit ribosomal RNA", at positions 28 to 507 of the family's 1533-position model. The record is from RNAcentral.
GAUGAACGCUGGCGGCGUGCCUAAUACAUGCAAGUCGAGCGAACAGACGAGGAGCUUGCUCCUCUGACGUUAGCGGCGGACGGGUGAGUAACACGUGGAUAACCUACCUAUAAGACUGGGAUAACUUCGGGAAACCGGAGCUAAUACCGGAUAAUAUAUUGAACCGCAUGGUUCAAUAGUGAAAGACGGUUUUGCUGUCACUUAUAGAUGGAUCCGCGCCGCAUUAGCUAGUUGGUAAGGUAACGGCUUACCAAGGCAACGAUGCGUAGCCGACCUGAGAGGGUGAUCGGCCACACUGGAACUGAGACACGGUCCAGACUACUACGGGAGGCAGCAGUAGGGAAUCUUCCGCAAUGGGCGAAAGCCUGACGGAGCAACGCCGCAUGAGUGAUGAAGGUCUUCGGAUCGUAAAACUCUGUUAUUAGGGAAGAACAAAUGUGUAAGUAACUAUGCACGUCUUGACGGUACCUAAUCAGAAAGCCACGGCUAACUACGUG